This is a long non-coding RNA of Cyprinus carpio carpio, 7848 nucleotides long. The record is from Ensembl. NCBI's taxonomy places the organism in Eukaryota, Metazoa, Chordata, Actinopteri, Cypriniformes, Cyprinidae.
AUGGGAUAUAUCCAUGUGUAAAAAAUAGCAAAUGGCAAUCUUCUGAUGAUAGAAAAUAUGUCUGUGAUUUUAAUACCAAUGAACUGGUGGAUUUUGCUCAUCCACAUUCUUUAGAUUUACCCAAAUGUACAGCAUCUACUUGCUUGACCCAGUGCACAUCAAAGGUGUUGCACAAACCAAUUGCAUCAUGUCAAAUUACGUACUCCAUGUAUUUGAUAAAUAAUGUCACUUAUAAGUGAAAACGCCAAACACACUACUGAUUCAAAAUAAAUUCUUUCAGAAAUAUAUAACUAUUAAGGGUAUUCAAGGAAGACAUGGUUUGUUAAACCCUGAUAGCUAUUGCAAGAUAAGGCCUACCAUUGCAUAAGCUUGGCCUAUGCAAGAAAAGUGAAGGACUUGUCCAAAUGAUAUACUGAAAUUACAUCAGACAGUGGCAACUGUGAUAUGUCAAAUGUCAGAAAAAAGCAAGACUGAAAACUGAAAAGAAAGCAAAACUGUUUUGGGUCUUUUUGAGCAGUUAACACAUUGUCUUUCACAUUAAUUGUUUAAAUAAAAAUGAGCAGAAAUUACAACGUUUCAAUCUUAGUCUUAUAACUGAGAAACUACAGCUUUUGACUAGACAUUUUGAUGUUUUAUAUCCCACUUAAAUUAAAAACGCUGCCAACUAGAAUAGAUUUCAAAUGUAAACAGACCACAUGUAACCUUUUUUCAUGCUCUUCUUCCCCCUGAAGGAGGCAUGCUUGAUGGCUUGUGGUAGCAGUCUGAAGGGGUUGAAUUUGGGCUUGCAUUCAUCCCAGUGGGGAUGUAAUACAUGCUUUCUAAAUAACUUUGAUCCAGCAAUGAAUGGCCUUUUGGUUCAUUUUUUGGCAUCUGGCUUGCAGGACUUCCAUACCUUAAGGAAGUCUGGUGAAGUGUGGUGGGGACAGGAGGUGGCUCUGGAUGGCGAACUUGCUGGGCACUACCUGAGAUUGCUGGGUAAGAUGGCACAGUAUAAGGCAGGUACUGUGGUGCAUACAACCCAGGACUAUGCAAAGAGGAGUAGGGUGGUGCGGCUGGUGGAUACAGCCCCGAAUGGGACAUUGCCUGCUGUGGUAUGAGAACUUCCACAUACUGGCCCAAUUCAGGAUCAAACAACAUUUUUCUGAGUGGUUGCAUUGGUACGUCAAUGUAGAAGUAUUUCCCAGUCUCAGGAUCAAGAAGGACACGACGAGAACCUUGGCCACAGCUGAGCCCAGUCGCAUUCUCUGGAUACAAUACACCAGCUCCCCCUGGACCUUCAUUUGCAUAAUCAUGGCCAAAAGAUUGUGGCAAAUCUUGGGGAUUAAACAACUGAGGCCUGGGAUCCACAGUAGACAUGUUAGCUGAAUGAGAAUACGCAUGAUAGGGAGAUGGACCUGCUGCUUGAGGUGAAGGAUGAUUAGCUGGGCGUCUAUCUGCAUGCAACCCAGAAGUUGGUGGUUGGUCAUCACCAUAGGAUUGUGAGUUUGAGACAGGGCAAGCUCGUGGGUUGUGCAGAGGCUGAACCAAAGCUGAGGCAUGGGGUAUUGUGGUAUUGGAGACUGGCAGACUAUCUGGUCUGCACUGAUGAGGACGAACUUGAGCUUGCGGAGGAGCUCCGGGACAGAUAAGGACUUGGCCUGGAGACUGAGAAGCUGCUGGUACCCGUUCCUGUGGACUGUGGUGGGGGUGUCCUUGAUGUAAAUGUGAACUUGGUGUACAGGAGCAAGAAGAUUGCUUUGUGGUUGAAUGAUACCGGCAUGACCUAUGGGGGGGUAAGUCUGAUAGCCGUAGUGGGCUGAAACUCUCUCGCUCAUCAUAGCUGGGAGGAUCAUCUGAAGCGUAGAAUAGAUACUCAUCUGUGUGAAAACGAUUGUUAGAUGAUGCUCUCGUCACAGAUUCUGUUUGGCCAAGGGCUUGUGGUCCUGAUGGGUUAGAAGUAAAGGAACUAUCUAGCAUUGACUGGUCUUGACUGAAUGAUGGGCUUUGCUGCUGGCAAGUGCUGGUUGUUUGCAAGAUAGCAGAAGACUGCUGUUGAUCCAGACUGGCCAAUGUCUUUGUGGUGGAUUUUUGCACCACACUUGGAGUUGUUGUGACUUGGAUGGAUGGUUGUUUGUAGCUUGAUACAGCUGAUACAGCCAGUCUUUUUGUAUCUCUUGAUGAAGUCUCGUUUGGUUGAUCCUUGUGUAUUACUGUUAAUGGUGUUUCAUUUUUCGUUGAUUCACUAUUUAACAUGGUUUGCUGUUUAAUAACAGAUGAUGCUUGAGUAUCUGCUUUUGAUGGGUCACUUGACACUGACGUAACUUCUGCAGAUGACUGUUUAUAGCUGGGUUUUGGUGGUACAAGCGGCUUUAGUCUAUCAGUGGAUAUUGACCUCACUUGUAUGGGUAACUCAAUCUCUUUUGAUGCAUUCACUGGUGUGGCAUUAUUUUUUGUACUACUUGAAAAAGACCUCACCUGUGGCUUGCCAGAUGUUGCUAAAUAAGUUGGAAUUUGUGCUAUAGUUGUGGUGGCAGUUAUUUUCUUUUUUUCUUGUUCCUUUGUUGAAGAUUUUUCUGUCAGUGUUCCCUUGGGACUCUCACUCGGUUGGGAUGUUCUUGAUGAAUUGUUCACAAGAGCUGUUGGAUUGCAAGGCAAUGAUGUAAUUUCUGCCUUUACCUGUCCUUCACUUGAAAUGCUUUCUGAUAAACAGGCCUGUACAGGUACCUCAAGCCUGUUGACAUGUUUAGCUGUAGCACUUGCAGAUUCAGUGAGAACAUCACAUACUCCAAUAUCAGCCUGCAUCCCUUUUUCUUUCAGUAGCAUGGAUACAGAGUGGCUGCUGCUUGCAGCUUUCAUUUGAGUAGAGUCAAGCACUGUUGGGGCAACGGACUUUGUCUUGGAUGUGCAAUCCGGAAGAACCACCAAUGCAGAAACUUCGCGCUCCUUACUUGGGGGUCUAGGGGGCAUCUUAGAACUCUGAUCACAGUGAAUGUAAGAUCUCUUAGUGAUACUUUCCGAUUCUGGUAAUCCACCUGUAGUUGUAGAGUUAGAAUAUGGGAAUUUUUGUUGUGACUCAGUCUUUGGUGAAGAGACUUUGGAUGUUAUUUCAGUGAUGUCAGCAUCUCUUCUCGUCUCUGCGCACUCCCAUGGUUGUGAUAUUUUUGAUAUGUCUACAGGUUGUUUUUCACCAAGACAGUGGAUUGCUUUGCUGCCUGAUGUUUGUUUGUCCUUCCAACUGAUGGCUGUACAUUCAAUUUGCAAGGCUGGAGAAGCUUGUGGUGGCUUCUCUCUUUUCUCUUGACCGACCAUGUCUUCUGCAGUAGAGGUUGAAUUUGAUGCUUUGAAAGACAGGUUGUAUGUGUUUUUUACCAACUUCCUCACAUCCCUAACUCUAUGUAUAACAGAUUUUUUGUUUCUGUCAUCGUCUUCUGUCUCUGUGACUUUGGUAGAUCUGGUGCUUAUAUCUUCUGCAGCAUUCUCUAUUGUCUGAGAUUCAGACAUUUCUCUGGACUGUUCCAAGUCAGGGGACAGAGACACUUUUAGAGAAGAUGUCUUUUUUUGUUUGAUAGAAGAAGGUUUCAAAGUUAUUUCUGGGGUUUUUGACAUAAAUACACUCUUUCCAGCCAGCUGUUCCUGGUUUCCCGGUGUCAUCUGGCACUUUUUUAUGUCUCGGCUUGUCAUUCUGCUUGGCAUGCUAAUUGCUGGUGUAGCAACAGCAGGACUUGUAUUCCUGAUAUUGGCAUUUGCUGACUCAAUAUUGUACUUCUCUUCAAGGUUGCUACCUCCCCCUUCUUUCCCAUCACUCUUGCAGUUUUGGAUUUUGUCAUCAACUUUUGGAGGGGCCAAUAUAGGCUUUGCUUCUUCCCUUGUAAUGUUGCAAGCUACCUGAGCUUCCCCAGUGUUAAAGAAUGCAGGUCUUAAGAGUGGUUUUGGAGGAACUUUUGGAGCACACUUCUUCGGCUGACGAUGUGAAAUUCUCUCCUCUCCGACAGCAAAAUCUUCAGAUGAAAGAGUACACUGGGAAUGUAGACUAGAGCUUAAACUAUGUUUCUCCAUGGUACUUGGUACACCACAAAAAGAGCCGGGGCUGACAUCAGGAUGUUUGUUUUUAUCUGCAGAUCGACCUGGAUCUGUACUUUUUGGUGUCUCUUUCUGCACAUCCUGCAUUUUCUUUGACAACACACUCUUGAUAAUGCAAGAUGCCAUUUGUGUCUUAGGGGAGCCAUCAUCUAAAGACACAGACUUCUGCAGUGUCUUUUUCCUUUCAUUCUGUGGUGAAUCUGGCACCUCCUUGGAAACUUCCUUUUGCACAAAUGCUGGUGUGCUAUGUUGACGAACAAAUGUGUCUUUUGAGCGUCUAUGUGUGGAUGGUGAAUUCAGUAUAUUUUCAGUGUUUCCUUUAUAUUUUGAUUCAUCUGUGUUCCGCCUUAACAGCUGGAUCUGCCUUUUAGGCACUGUCCUCUUUCCUCUACUGGACUCUUCCCGGCUCUCUAAUGCAACGUCCACACACUCAAAACUCCCUAUUUCAAAGUGUUUGUUUGGGUCCAGGCCAUCACGGGGAAGAAAAGAUGAGCCAUCGUUUUCAUGUAACGCUGAGCCAAGUAAGUCUGCGUAUGUCAUCCAUGCAACAGCACCAGGGCUGUCUACGGUCGAAGCCUGUGAAACAUUUGUAGAUGACCUGUGGCUUGAAUUGUACACAUCCAAAUAAUCCACUUGAGGGCUAGAUAGGCUUCUGAAGGCUGGAUCUGUAAACCAUUUUACUUCAUUGUCUACUUCAUCAAAUUCACUUCCCAUGCUGGAGGUUUUACCAGUACAUUCAGGAGAAAGAAAGCCUGCACUGCUGUAUUUACCCUGGGCAGCUGAAUGGAGCCUCCUGGCGCCAACCUUAUUCUCUUGUUGUGAGCCCUGAGCUCUGAGCUGACUCUGUUGCUGCAGAGUUGUUGGGUGCGACUCAAAAUAACAGCGAGCUGGAAUUCCUGACUUUGGGUCUUGACUUGAGCGAGCUGGGCUGUGGCCUGCAGGCCCUUUUCUAUUCCUGACCCUGAAUGACAGCUCAACCUGUUCCCCUCUGUAACUACUCUCUCCCAUAGUAUCCUUCCCCUCUCCCUCCUUCUUUCCACUCUCUUCCUUUUCCCUGCAUGGCUGCCUGUCAAAUUCACCACCAUUGUCCCUACUGAUAACCCCAUGGCUAUCUCUUAAUGCUAUAGGCACUUGACUAAGCCUCUUGUUACUGUCUGGGGAAUAAUUUUUCAACAUUUCUGUUCCCUUGCUGCUAUCAGAAACCUCAACAUGGCAUUGUUUCUUCUCUAUAGAUGCUAUUGGUUUCGGCACAGAUGCGGUCCAUGGACUUGUGGAAGUUAAUGUUCCACAGACAGUUAAAUCAGUUGUGUUAUCAGUGACAAUUUCUUGAUUUUUCUCAAUUUUUACUGUGGACAAUCCAGAAUCUGAGGUUUUAGAGAUUGAAGCUUGCAAGAUCUGCAUUUGGCUAAGAACUGGUGGUCCACUGCCUUUACAUUCGUUCGGGACAGAUGCAAUGCUUUUGGGAGUCUUUGUGUCAGCAAGGUCAUCAAAACAAUUAAAACAGUCUAUUGGGUUAGAGAAAGGAUGAUUCAUUCUAUCACAGAUUAUGGAUAAAGUCUGAUUUUCUGCCUUUUCAAGAGUGAUGGAAGACUCAGGUUUGAGAUAAGGGAUUUGUGCUGUGUGUUUGGUAUGGUCUGAUGCAGCUGAUGAGGGCCUUGAUCUACUCUCUGGUGUUGACAAAAAAUUCCUUGAGCUAGGUAAGACAGAGGUGUCAUUUCCAAAAAUAUAGUUGGAAGUUUCAGAGGAGUUGCCACAGACAUUUGUCUCUACUGCAGGUGAUUGUGCUAAACCUUCAGAUUGUGUAACGCUAUAUGUGAUGCCAGGGGAUUUUGUAUUUUGUGGCAGAACACUAUAUGAUAUUGUUUUGAUUUCAGGUGAGCAGGUGACUGAUCUCAAUUCCAGUGAAGGGGCUGGGGAAUUGGGCUCUGGUGUAAGGUAAUUUUCUCUGCUGUUUGGAGUGGAGGUAAUGCUCCUUAACACAGGUGUGGAAUUUCCACAGCUUGUUGGUGUUGCUGUAUAAUCAGGUCUUGUGAUGGCAGGGGAGGAUAGAAGGUCAUCAGGUUCCACUGAAAAAAGCAUUCUCUUAUGUGUAGGUGAUGGGCUGAUGGUAUAACCCAUCAGUGAGUGAAUUAUUUCAGGUUCUGGUGAGUGAGCUGAAACGGAGUGAUCAGAAGAGGAGCAGAUGUCACUGUAAUCAAUCCUUGUGACCUCAGGGAAGGAUGGUGAGUCUUCAGGUUCAACAGAAUAAACAAUUUUCUCACAUGUAGGUGAUGGGCUGGUGGUGUAACCCACAGGGGAAUUAAUCAGUACAGGUUCUGGUGAGUGAGCAGGUGCUGAGUGUUUAGGAGAAGAGCAGGUUUCAUUGAUCUCAGGUGAUUCCAGUCUUUCUCUAACAUCUAUGGGUGAACAUACCAUUCCUCUUGUUUCAGUAGAAAUGGCAGACACAGUUAGAGAAUCUAUUUCCACAUUAUCACUGGUAGGAAGUGUAGAUACAGAUAAAGAAGCACCAUAUGUGUCCUCCAAGUUUGGAGACUCUGAUGCAUGCCUAACUUGAGUUGGACACAAAUUCAGCACCUCAGGUGAGGUGGAGUUUAAUCUGGGCUCUUGCAUGACACUGGGUAUGGGCAGAAAAUUAAUAUCUCUGUCUGAAGGUGAAGUAGACAUUUCCUGCAUAGGGCUGCAAUCUGUUGGAGCAGGGUUUGACAGUUCUAAUGCAGAGUCACUGUUCACUAUCCCUUGUGCAAAGAGAAUGUUUUGCUCUUGUGGACUUCGAUAGUUCAUACUCUCUUUUUUCUCAGAAUACAUCACAUUAUUUUGUUCAAGUGGAUACCCUGCGAAGGAUUCACAGUCUGAUUCAAAUAUUUGCUUAUCUAAAAAUGGGUUUGUACUUUUAUGUUGAGGUGUUUUAAUAAUUCCUUCUUGCUCAAAAAUUGCAGGUUCUUUCUCUUCUGAAGAGCAGGAUGAAGUAUUAGAAGGUCCAUUUGCUGGAUUAAUCAGGGUAGCAGCUGUUGUUGAGUUCACAUACUGUGGUUCAGAUGCAUUUGUGAUUGCUGUUUCAUUCACUGGGGCAUUAUCCACUGACACUUGUGGUUCUUCCCAGUUAUUUGUAUGUGAAAGGUCAUUAGCAUUGACUUUUGAUGCAGGUGGUGUGCAGUCUAGUGGUUUAAGUCCAUUAUUGGAAUCAGACAAGAUGGUUGAUUCACCUGGGGGUGAACGUGAUUCCCUGGUUUCAAAUGUGGAAAAAUUCUGGAUAUUUUCUGGAGAAGGUGUGUUGUAAGUGACUUCAGUGUUGUCGCUUAAGUCAGAUCCAUUGGCAGUGUGAUAGGAUCCUGAAGAGUCAUUGGCAUCAUCUGCUGGAAAAGACUGAUCCACUUCUCUCCUGAUAAAUGCGGCAGAGGCUGGGCUACUGGAAAGUGAUGGAGACUCGCAGUCAUCCACAAAAAUGUCACACAGGCAUGUUGUUUCAGAUAUGGCAUUACGAUGGCUAGGGAUUGAAGUGAUGUCAAAGAUCUCCACACGAUUUGGCCCUUCAUGAUUCUGCAGGUUGAACGUGUGUGGAGCACUGCGAAGAAACAAGUAGCUAUCUCCCUCUAGAACCCAGCGUUCCAUUUCUUCACUUCAGAUACCACAGACAUUGGGUUGUCACUUUUAUAAAUGCCUAAACUCAAAAGAAACAAACAUGAAAACUUAAGAAUUAAAUAAUUCUCAUGACAAAUCUUAAGAAGUCUAUAGAAAAUGUUUUCUUGUAGAUUUAUACAAAGAUUCUAAAAGCAAGUAUAUUAGAAAGUA